Molecule: ribosomal RNA, 332 nt
Filed under: uncultured bacterium
Lineage: Bacteria
Description: partial 16S ribosomal RNA
Rfam family: Bacterial small subunit ribosomal RNA
Source: RNAcentral
CCUACGGGGGGCAGCAGUGGGGAAUAGUGGGCAAUGGAGGAAACUCUGACCCAGCAAUGCCGCGUGAAUGAAGAAGGUCUUCGGAUGGUAAAGUUCUUUAGUCAGGGAAGAAGAAAAUGACGGUACCUGAAGAAUAAGCGCCGGCUAACAACGUGCCAGCAGCCGCGGUAAGACGUAGGGAGCAAGCGUUGUUCGGAAUGACUGGGCUUAAAGGGUGCGUAGGCGUUUAUACAAGUUAGAAGUGAAAUACCCAGUGCUUAACUCGGGUGCUGCUUCUCAAACUGUAAGUCUUGAGUGCAGUCGUGUUUAGUGGCAUUCCUAGUGUAGCGGUG